GGUCCGGUAGUUCAGUUGGUUAGAAUGCCUGCCUGUCGCAGGAGGUCGCGGGUUCGAGUCCCGUCCGGACCGCCA
Molecule: transfer RNA, 75 nt
Filed under: Bacillus velezensis
Lineage: Bacteria; Bacillati; Bacillota; Bacilli; Caryophanales; Bacillaceae
Description: tRNA-Thr
Rfam family: tRNA
About the family: Transfer RNA (tRNA) molecules are approximately 80 nucleotides in length.
Source: RNAcentral